GCUGGGCACAGUGGUGCACGCCUGUAAUCCCAGCGACUCGGGAGGUUGAGGCAGGAGGAUUGCAAGUUCAAAACCAGCCUCAGCAAUUUAGUGAGGCCCUAAGCAAUUUAGUGAGACCCUGUCUCAA
RNAcentral lists this small RNA (127 nucleotides) under Marmota monax (woodchuck). Lineage: Eukaryota; Metazoa; Chordata; Mammalia; Rodentia; Sciuridae. The record is from RNAcentral.